This 21-nucleotide unclassified non-coding RNA is filed under the name Dictyostelium discoideum. Lineage: Eukaryota; Evosea; Eumycetozoa; Dictyosteliales; Dictyosteliaceae. The record is from RNAcentral.
CACCAAAGAUGUUUGAUGAAA